Molecule: non-coding RNA, 125 nt
Organism: Triticum aestivum (bread wheat)
Lineage: Eukaryota; Viridiplantae; Streptophyta; Magnoliopsida; Poales; Poaceae
Source: Rfam
AGGAUACUUCCUCCGUCCGUAAAUACUUGUCAUUGAAAUGGAUGUAUCUAGAUGUAUUUUAGUUCUAGAUACAUCCAUGUUCAUCCAUUUUGAUGACAAGUAUUUCCGGACGGAGGGAGUACUAG